This 211-nucleotide long non-coding RNA is filed under the name Mytilus galloprovincialis (Mediterranean mussel). The record is from RNAcentral. Lineage: Eukaryota; Metazoa; Mollusca; Bivalvia; Mytilida; Mytilidae.
GGCCGUUUUUUUCGCAUAUUUUUUAUGUCUUCAUGUCUGUGCCUUUUCAGAGACAUAUAAUAUUAUGUAUUAUAUGUCUCUGGCCUUUUAAAGCCGACUAUGUGGUUUGGGUUUUGCUCAUGGUUGAAGGCCCUAGAGUUGCCUGUAAUUGCUUACACCUGUCCCACUUCAUUUGAAAGUAUGUCGAUAAGAUGUCUUACUGGCAAUCAUG